RNAcentral lists this ribosomal RNA (1343 nucleotides) under uncultured bacterium. RNAcentral's name for it is "16S ribosomal RNA". It matches the Rfam family "Bacterial small subunit ribosomal RNA", at positions 28 to 1378 of the family's 1533-position model. The record is from RNAcentral.
GACGAACGCUUGCGGCGUGCUUAACACAUGCAAGUCGAACGGAAAGGCCCUGCUUUUGUGGGGUGCUCGAGUGGCGAACGGGUGAGUAACACGUGAGUAACCUGCCCUUGACUUUGGGAUAACUUCAGGAAACUGGGGCUAAUACCGGAUAGGAGCUCCUGCUGCAUGGUGGGGGUUGGAAAGUUUCGGCGGUUGGGGAUGGACUCGCGGCUUAUCAGCUUGUUGGUGGGGUAGUGGCUUACCAAGGCUUUGACGGGUAGCCGGCCUGAGAGGGUGACCGGCCACAUUGGGACUGAGAUACGGCCCAGACUCCUACGGGAGGCAGCAGUGGGGAAUAUUGCACAAUGGGCGGAAGCCUGAUGCAGCAACGCCGCGUGCGGGAUGACGGCCUUCGGGUUGUAAACCGCUUUCGCCUGUGACGAAGCGUGAGUGACGGUAAUGGGUAAAGAAGCACCGGCUAACUACGUGCCAGCAGCCGCGGUGAUACGUAGGGUGCGAGCGUUGUCCGGAUUUAUUGGGCGUAAAGGGCUCGUAGGUGGUUGAUCGCGUCGGAAGUGUAAUCUUGGGGCUUAACCCUGAGCGUGCUUUCGAUACGGGUUGACUUGAGGAAGGUAGGGGAGAAUGGAAUUCCUGGUGGAGCGGUGGAAUGCGCAGAUAUCAGGAGGAACACCAGUGGCGAAGGCGGUUCUCUGGGCCUUUCCUGACGCUGAGGAGCGAAAGCGUGGGGAGCGAACAGGCUUAGAUACUCUGGUAGUCCACGCUGUAAACGGUGGGUACUAGGUGUGGGGUCCAUUCCACGGGUUCCGUGCCGUAGCUAACGCUUUAAGUACCCCGCCUGGGGAGUACGGCCGCAAGGCUAAAACUCAAAGGAAUUGACGGGGCCCCGCACAAGCGGCGGAGCAUGCGGAUUAAUUCGAUGCAACGCGUAGAACCUUACCUGGGUUUGACAUGGAUCGGGAGCGCUCAGAGAUGGGUGUGCCUCUUUUGGGGUCGGUUCACAGGUGGUGCGUGGCUGUCGUCAGCUCGUGUCGUGAGAUGUUGGGUUAAGUCCCGCACCGAGCGCAACCCUUGUUCACUGUUGCCAGCACGUUAUGGUGGGGACUCAGUGGAGACCGCCGGGGUCAACUCGGAGGAAGGUGGGGAUGACGUCAAGUCAUCAUGCCCCUUAUGUCCAGGGCUUCACGCAUGCUACAAUGGCUGGUACAGAGAGUGGCGAGCCUGUGAGGGUGAGCGAAUCUCGGAAAGCCGGUCUCAGUUCGGAUUGGGGUCUGCAACUCGACCUCAUGAAGUCGGAGUCGCUAGUAAUCGCAGAUCAGCAACGCUGCGGUGAAUACGUUCCCGGG